AUUGAACGCUGGCGGAAUGCUUUACACAUGCAAGUCGAACGGCAGCACGGGGGCAACCCUGGUGGCGAGUGGCGAACGGGUGAGUAAUACAUCGGAACGUGCCCAGUCGUGGGGGAUAACGUAGCGAAAGCUACGCUAAUACCGCAUACGAUCUCUGGAUGAAAGCGGGGGACCGCAAGGCCUCGCGCGAUUGGAGCGGCCGAUGGCAGAUUAGGUAGUUGGUGGGGUAAAGGCUCACCAAGCCGACGAUCUGUAGCUGGUCUGAGAGGACGACCAGCCACACUGGGACUGAGACACGGCCCAGACUCCUACGGGAGGCAGCAGUGGGAAUUUUGGACAAUGGGCGAAAGCCUGAUCCAGCCAUUCGCGUGCAGGAUGAAGGCCCUCGGGUU
This 392-nucleotide ribosomal RNA is filed under the name uncultured bacterium. RNAcentral describes it as "bacterial SSU rRNA". It matches the Rfam family "Bacterial small subunit ribosomal RNA", at positions 29 to 424 of the family's 1533-position model. The record is from RNAcentral.